UACGUAGGGUGCAAGCGUUGUUCGGAAUCAUUGGGCGUAAAGCGCGUGUAGGCGGUUGGCUAAGUCCGGUGUGAAAUCCCGGGGCUUAACUCCGGAAGUGCACUGGAUACUGGCCAACUAGAGGACGGGAGAGGAAAGCGGAAUUCCUGGUGUAGGGGUGAAAUCCGUAGAUAUCAGGAGGAAUGCCGGAGGCGAAGGCGGCUUUCUGGUCCGUUACUGACGCUGAGACGCGAAAGCGUGGGUAGCAAACAGG
This 253-nucleotide ribosomal RNA is filed under the name uncultured bacterium. Its description in RNAcentral is "partial 16S ribosomal RNA". It matches the Rfam family "Bacterial small subunit ribosomal RNA", at positions 524 to 776 of the family's 1533-position model. The record is from RNAcentral.